Molecule: long non-coding RNA, 479 nt
Organism: Xenia sp. Carnegie-2017
Lineage: Eukaryota; Metazoa; Cnidaria; Anthozoa; Malacalcyonacea; Xeniidae
Exons: 3
Source: RefSeq, a predicted model, not a curated record
UUCCUACGUUUAAAAAUUGUUUGUUGUUGUUGUGCAUUGGUUUUGUAAAGAAUGUCGAAGACAGAAAAAGAAGAGCUCAGUGAUUAUGAACUCCAAAGACUUGCUAAAAUCAAGCAAAACCUUGAUUUCCUCGAGAAUUUGGGCAAGUGCAUUUUAGCCUUCAUUCGUGAAGCCCAAUGUGUUUAUGUUGGUAUAUUUUUGCGUUUAUAAAGGCAUUGAAGUGGACAGGUCUGCAUAUCUUCCGAAGCAACGAACAAAGAAGAGAAAAUUGACGAAGACAGUAGCAGUGAUGAAGAAUGGUUACCUGGAAAAGAUGAAAAUUUUUUGCUAAAGAAAGUAAAGCCAAUCUUUAAAUCAACAUUUAGAAGCAGUUCCGUCACCAAGAAAUCUUCAAAUAAACAGGCUUCUUCGAAAAAAUUUUGUGCUCCUUCAGCCACGUCAAAUAAUGAUUUUAAUUCAUCUGUUGAUGACAAUUCAAU